Molecule: small RNA, 2259 nt
Filed under: Pan troglodytes (chimpanzee)
Lineage: Eukaryota; Metazoa; Chordata; Mammalia; Primates; Hominidae
Description: processed transcript
Source: RNAcentral
GUUUCCAAGAGGGAAGCAGGAGGCUGGCUUCACUUGGUUCCCAGACAUCUCAUGAGUGCCGGCUGCCUGCCCAGCCCUCUGCCUGGUGCUGGGAGGCAGGUGUCUCCGCACUUGAGCAGAUGCCGGGAGGCAACGUGGAGAGCUCUGCGAGAGGCUUGGAAAGAGGGUGAGGCCAGAGGAUGGAGCAGGAGAGGGAAGGCUUCUCUGAGGAGGUGACAUUUCAGAUCCAGGAGAUGGUCCACUCGGAAGUGGCUGCCUAUGACUCGGGCCGGCCCGGGCCCCUGCUGGGUCGCCCGGCAAUGCUGGCCAGCCACAUGAGUGCCCUCAGCCAGUCCCAGCUCAUCUCACAGAUGGGCAUCCGGAGCAGCAUCGCCCACAGCUCCCCAUCACCGCCGGGGAGCAAGUCAGCGACCCCCUCUCCCUCCAGCUCCACUCAGGAAGAGGAGUCGGAAGUGCAUUUCAAGAUCUCGGGAGAAAAGAGACCUUCAGCCGACCCAGGAAAAAAGGCCAAGAACCCGAAGAAGAAGAAAAAGAAGGACCCCAAUGAGCCGCAGAAGCCUGUGUCGGCCUACGCACUCUUCUUCAGAGACACUCAGGCCGCCAUCAAGGGUCAGAACCCCAGUGCCACUUUUGGUGACGUGUCCAAAAUCGUGGCCUCCAUGUGGGACAGCCUGGGAGAGGAACAGAAGCAGGCCUACAAGAGGAAGACAGAAGCAGCAAAGAAGGAAUAUCUGAAGGCCCUGGCAGCCUACCGGGCUAGCCUCGUCUCCAAGAGCUCCCCAGAUCAAGGUGAGACCAAGAGCACUCAGGCAAACCCACCAGCCAAAAUGCUCCCACCCAAGCAGCCCAUGUAUGCCAUGCCAGGCCUGGCCUCCUUCCUGACGCCGUCGGACCUGCAGGCCUUCCGCAGUGGGGCCUCCCCGGCCAGCCUCGCCCGGACCCUGGGCUCCAAGUCUCUGCUGCCAGGCCUCAGUGCAUCCCCGCCGCCGCCACCCUCCUUCCCGCUCAGCCCCACACUGCACCAGCAGCUGUCACUGCCCCCUCACGCCCAGGGCACCCUCCUCAGUCCACCUGUUAGCAUGUCCCCAGCCCCCCAGCCCCCUGUCCUGCCCACCCCCAUGGCACUCCAGGUGCAGCUGGCGAUGAGCCCCUCACCUCCAGGGCCACAGGACUUCCCGCACAUCUCUGAGUUCCCCAGCAGCUCGGGAUCCUGCUCACCUGGCCCAUCCAACCCCACCAGCAGCGGGGACUGGGACAGCAGCUACCCCAGUGGGGAGUGUGGCAUCAGCACCUGCAGCCUGCUCCCCAGGGACAAAUCGCUCUACCUCACCUAAUCCCGCCUCCCCACCAUCCCUGAGGCUCGCUGGAAGGCACUGCUCAGAGCCUGAAGGGCUGACAGCAGAAAAGAGGCCCUGGCCAGAGGCAGGGUGGCCCAUCGGAGAGAGCAGUGACACACCCAUUGCCUGGGGGCUGAGUCUCUUCCUCAACCUCCCACCAGACUCUGCAGAGGCAGCCCACUGCCCGCCACCAGCCCAAAGAACCUGCAGGAACCUUCUGCCCGCUGACCUGCUUGCUCCAGGGUAACUGUGGACCCUGUCCUCGCCCUGCGCACGGUUCCCUAUGUCUGGACACCCGGCCCCAGCUCCAGCCCCAGCCCACGUGGGCUGUCCCUGGCGGGGUCGCUUACCAACGGACACCCACCCCAGAUGCAUGGGCCAGAGGGCCGGCCCCCGGCACAGACGUGCACAUCGGUUUUCCAGUGUGAACAAAAGAUUACGAAACCUAGAAACUGUUGGUUCCGUGUAAGUAGUUGACUACGUGUUUUAGAACUGUGCUGAAGACAUCUGUAAGACUAUUUUGUGGGGAAAAAAGUAGUUUCCUUUAAGGUAAAAAGCAUUUUAUAUGAUCCUUAGCACAUUUUUAAGUUUUAUCUUAAGGGAGACGUGCACAAAAGCGGCUGCCAAACCGUUUUGUCAUCCUCACAGCAAGGACCGGACGCUUGCGAGCCACCCCGGAGCACUGCUCUCCUUUUAAUCAUGUAUUCAUCUAUUUUAAAUUGCCGGCGACGACUUUUGUCUAUUUAUGAAGAAACCUUGAGAACAAAGUUACAGCUUAUCCUACCGUGUGCGUGGUUUUGGGGUUUCGUUUGGGUUUGGGUUCUUGACGUCGUUUGCAGCUGUUUCCUGGCCCUGGCAAGUGUCUGUCUUGGUGCCCAGUGCUUCUCUCAAAUCUCUUUAUAAUAAAACUUCUGAAAAGCUG